AACGAACGCUGGCGGCAUGCCUAACACAUGCAAGUCGAACGAGACCUUCGGGUCUAGUGGCGCACGGGUGCGUAACGCGGGGGAACCUGCCCUUAGGUUCGGAAUAACUCCCCGUAAGGGGUGCUAAUACCGGAUAAUGUCUUCGGACCAAAGAUUUAUCGCCUUUGGAUGGGCCCGCGUUGGAUUAGCUAGUUGGUAGGGUAAAAGCCUACCAAGGCGACGAUCCAUAGCUGGUCUGAGAGGAAGAUCAGCCACACUGGGACUGAGACACGGCCCAGACUCCUACGGGAGGCAGCAGUGGGGAAUAUAGGACAAUGGGCGAAAGCCUGAUCCAGCUAUGCCGCGUGAGUGAUGAAGGCCUUAGGGUUGUAAAGCUCUUUUACCCGGGAUGAUAAUGACAGUACCGGGAGAAUAAGCUCCGGCUAACUCCGUG
Molecule: ribosomal RNA, 433 nt
Filed under: uncultured bacterium
Lineage: Bacteria
Description: partial 16S ribosomal RNA
Rfam family: Bacterial small subunit ribosomal RNA
Source: RNAcentral